RNAcentral lists this ribosomal RNA (207 nucleotides) under uncultured bacterium. Its description in RNAcentral is "partial 16S ribosomal RNA". It matches the Rfam family "Bacterial small subunit ribosomal RNA", at positions 568 to 774 of the family's 1533-position model. The record is from RNAcentral.
UGCGUAGGCGGGUUUCUAAGUCAGAGGUGAAAGCCUGGAGCUCAACUCCAGAACUGCCUUUGAUACUGGAAGUCUUGAGUAUGGCAGAGGUGAGUGGAACUGCGAGUGUAGAGGUGAAAUUCGUAGAUAUUCGCAAGAACACCAGUGGCGAAGGCGGCUCACUGAGCCAUUACUGACGCUGAGGCACGAAAGCGUGGGGAGCAAACA